UACGUAGGGGGCUAGCGUUGUCCGGAUUUAUUGGGCGUAAAGAGCGUGUAGGCGGCCAUACAGGUCCGUUGUGAAAACUGGAGGCUUAACCUCCAGACGUCGAUGGAAACCGUAUGGCUAGAGUCCGGAAGAGGAGAGUGGAAUUCCUGGUGUAGCGGUGAAAUGCGCAGAUAUCAGGAAGAACACCAGUGGCGAAGGCGGCUCUCUGGGACGGUACUGACGCUGAGACGCGAAAGCGUGGGGAGCGAACAGG
This 253-nucleotide ribosomal RNA is filed under the name uncultured bacterium. RNAcentral describes it as "partial 16S ribosomal RNA". It matches the Rfam family "Bacterial small subunit ribosomal RNA", at positions 524 to 776 of the family's 1533-position model. The record is from RNAcentral.